Small nuclear RNA from Pipistrellus kuhlii (Kuhl's pipistrelle), 167 nucleotides. RefSeq annotates it as U1 spliceosomal RNA. The record is from RefSeq and is a predicted model, not a curated record. The transcript has a single exon. NCBI's taxonomy places the organism in Eukaryota, Metazoa, Chordata, Mammalia, Chiroptera, Vespertilionidae.
AAAUAUACAUAUUAAGGGAAUACUCCAUGGUCACAAAGAUGGUUUUCUUAGGACCAGGGGUAUCUAUUACACUCCAGAUGUGCUGACCCCUGAGACUCUCCCAACUGGGGGAAACUCGACUGCAUAAUUCAUGGAAAUGGGGGACUGUGUUCGUUCACAUUCUCCCC